Molecule: ribosomal RNA, 322 nt
Filed under: uncultured eukaryote
Lineage: Eukaryota
Description: partial 18S ribosomal RNA
Rfam family: Eukaryotic small subunit ribosomal RNA
Source: RNAcentral
CCCUUAGAUGUCCUGGGCCGCACGCGCGCUACACUGACAUGUUCAACAAGCCUCCUAGUUCGACAGGAUUUGGGAAAUCUUUGAACGCAUGUCGUGAUAGGGAUAGAUCAUUGCAAUUAUUGAUCUUGAACGAGGAAUUCCUAGUAAACGCGAGUCAUCAGCUCGCAUUGAUUACGUCCCUGCCCUUUGUACACACCGCCCGUCGCACCUACCGAUUGAGUGAUCCGGUGAAUGAUUCGGACCAGCGUGCUGCUCAGAUCCUGCGCAGUGUGCUGGGAAGUCUAGUGAACCUUAUCACUUAGAGGAAGGAGAAGUCGUAACA